GACGAACGCUGGCGGCGUGCUUAACACAUGCAAGUCGAACGGAAAGGCCCUGCUUUUGUGGGGUGCUCGAGUGGCGAACGGGUGAGUAACACGUGAGUAACCUGCCCUUGACUUUGGGAUAACUUCAGGAAACUGGGGCUAAUACCGGAUAGGAGCUCCUGCUGCAUGGUGGGGGUUGGAAAGUUUCGGCGGUUGGGGAUGGACUCGCGGUGUAUUAGCUUGUUGGUAAGGUAGUGGAUUACCCAGGCUAUGACGGAUAGCCGGCCUGAGAGGGUGAACGGCCACACUGGAACUGAGACACGGUACAGACGACUACGGGAGGCAGCAGGAGGGAAUCUGGCGCAAUGGGCGAAAGCCUGACGGAGCAACGCCGCGUGAGUGAUGAAGGUCUCCGGAGCGUAAAACUCUGUUAUUAGGGAAGAACAGAUGUGUAAGUAACGGUGCACAUCUUGACGGGACCGAAUCAGAAAGCCACGGCUAACUACGUG
RNAcentral lists this ribosomal RNA (488 nucleotides) under uncultured bacterium. RNAcentral's name for it is "partial 16S ribosomal RNA". It matches the Rfam family "Bacterial small subunit ribosomal RNA", at positions 28 to 507 of the family's 1533-position model. The record is from RNAcentral.